CCUCUCUCUAGCAGGGUGGGAAGGGAGGCAGUAUCACCUCCGGCUUCCCAGUCCGUACUGCUCCACCAUCUUCCCAGCCCCCCUCUCCUGUGGUGAGCUCUGCUCCCCAUGCCAGCAAGCCUGAUGCCAAACCAAGAUCAUAUAGUAACCAGCAUCCAAACUACACACGUUCAUUCUACUGAAGCACCAUUCAGUGUGAUGAAGUCUCAAGAAAAUGUUCUAAGGGAAAUAAAUGCUUACAAAGGUCUGAAUCUCAUCAAGCAACAGAGCAUUUUUGUCAUUAGGGGUAUCAGUUUCUCAAGAUUUUGUAUCUUUUACUGAUAUCAGUAACUAUGAUAACUACCAAGUUUCCAAUUUUGAAAGUAACAUUUACCAUAUCCAUUGAUGUUAUUACACUUGGCAAUGUAUCAGUACUUAUGAUUAUGUAUAUUUCCUCAGUCAAGGUUUUUGUAAGAUAGAUAGAUAGAUAGAUAUAUAUUACUUAUUUUAAUAUGACAUUGCAGUAUAUUUUUCUUUUCUUUUCUUUUAUUGGUUAAGGGUUAAUGAAUAUAACAUAUAGAGGUUGAGCCUUGAUCUGUACUCUUCUUGAAUCAUCAAGGGAAGAGAUGUACAUGUACUGUACUGAUGAUAUGUUGGGUGUAAGUAGAUCGCAAAUUACAAAUUUCUUUUCCUUGGGGCAUCAUCUUUGUAUUUUAUUUAGGGAAGAGACCACUUUAUGAAUGAGGCAAUUUUUAAAUAAAAAUAUUUUAAAGGAAGUUGAGUAGCAAGUAAUGUUUUUUUCUUUUUCAUCUCACACACAUGAAGUCACUCCCCCCAUUAUUUAUUUAUUUAUUUAUUUAUUUUUUAUACAUUUAAAAAAGUAGGUCCAGCUUUUUAAAUCUAACCUUGACAAACAGAAAUACCAAAUUCGAUGUGGAUGCUACUUGAAUAAGCUGCCUUGCCUUGAUGCACACUGGGUUAAUUAAGUACAAGGUAAGAUUGAGUGAGAAGUAAAUUUGAUAGAAAAAAAAGAUGCAGCAUAUAUAGGUAAAUGUGUUACUCAAGUUUUCUAUAUAGCUUACUCAAAGAUUCUGAAGAAAAAAAAAAUGAUGUGUGUUUACUUUUCCUGUGUAUAUUUAACUUUCAACUGUAACCCUUCAGAUGAGAUUUAUGUUCCAUAUGUGUAUGCCCAUUGGUUAAUGGUUAAUGGGUAUAAAGCAAAAUAAAGUGUUGGACAUCAAA
Molecule: long non-coding RNA, 1221 nt
Organism: Penaeus indicus
Lineage: Eukaryota; Metazoa; Arthropoda; Malacostraca; Decapoda; Penaeidae
Exons: 2
Source: RefSeq, a predicted model, not a curated record